GAAAAAUCUUCUUAAAAAAUGAAAAUGCUAUAGACAAUGUAUUUAACCUUAGAAAAUGGGAAGUCCAUGAAAGAAAGAAAGCAUUUGCUGCUUUAGCAAAACUAUUUUAUUCCGGAGGACAGUUUCUGCCAGUAUAUGUAUGAAAACUCCCAAUAAGUUUUAAAAUGAUGGAUCUUGACUAACUUAGCUCUAAUUUAUAAGGGCUUUUUUGUUGCUGUUAGAAACCUAUAUGCUUUUGUUAAUGCAACUCUCUAGAAAGCACCUCAAUUUCAUAAAAUUACAGCUUUUUUUAAGUGCAUAGUGUCAUUUUGUUUUUUUAAAAUCAAGUUUUGGCUUUAAAAAAAGUGAAUAAAAAUUAACAUUUCAAACUCAAUUCUCCAAAGGCAUGCAGUGAUAAAUACUCAGUCAAGGAUGCCCUUGAAUGAAGAGGUGACCUCUUGUUUCAAGUUGAGUAAAACCAUCGUAACAACUGCUCUGUGUGGAGAGCAGCUAUGAGCUCUACGUACCGUGCCUCACUGAGCACCCCAGCCACACUGUGUUCCUGUCAUUAUCCCCCUUUUCGUCUAUGUAGCAGCUAGGCUCCAAGAGCGUAGGUCACCAGGAACAGUCAGACAGCUGGUGAGUGGCCAGGCUGAGUUUUAUCCUAGUAUCAUGUGACAUCAAAACUUGUGAGCCAAAAUGUUCCUCAUGAUAUGACAAAGACUUACAAGCUGUGUCAUUAUUCUCCAAGGGUGAGACUGAUUAAUCCACUGACCUCAGCCUUAGACACUGAAAAGAUAAAAAGAGAAAGUCACUGCACUUUAUUAAAUGCAUCCUUUCAUUUUACUCUCACAACAAGCCUGUGUGAUAAGGAUAUUUGGAUAUUUAUCCUCUUCCACUGCUGAGGGAACUGAGCGCCUGAGAGGUGAAGCAGCUUGCCUGGGGUCCCAAUUGCCUCUUUAGGUAUUCAGAUGCCAUAAGAAGGGAUGAAAGUCCAAGUCUUCGUAGCUGGCCUCACUGGAGGAGAGAACCGUUAUUUCUUUGUACCUGUUUAGAAAGCCGAACUUUGCCGCGUGUUUGCUGUGUGCUUGACAGUGGUCAGCGCGUCGAGGAGUACUCCCGUUCACUCCAUGUGACAGCCCUGUGAAGGACAGUCACUGCCCUGGCCUCUCCGGGCCUCUUGUUUUCACCCUUGAGCAGAGAUGGACUGGGCUUCAGGGCACCGGCAGGUAUAAUGACAGUCUCAGGAACACGCUGGAACUGGAGAGUGCAAGUCCAGCCUAAGGGCAUUCAAAUUCUGACUAUUUAAAACCCCCUCCUGGGCCAAACAAGCCUGUCUGCUGCCUUGUUUAUUCCCCAGUGUGGGUUCCUCACCCCUGUCUAGAGGGAUGGUAAGGGACACGACCCGGAGUGUGUGCUACUCGGUUUACCAAGCCUGGUGAUGUCUUUCAUACUCUUACUUUAAAAUAAUACCAUUGAGCCUCCCAACUUGGGUCUUCCAAAACCAUCCAUUCCACUUUCCUGCAGGUUCUAAAGUAGCUACACACAGUGCUCAUGUUAUUACAAGCCCUUUAAUUGUUAUUAAUUGCCAUUGGAGGUGAUGAUAAUUAACACACUGUAAUGAAGUGCUAGCCCAUGUACUGGCAUGUGUAUUUAACCUAUGCCUGUCUGAGGAGAGCAAUAACUUCGACAGAGACCUUCAGGCCGUGGUGCUGAAGAGGAGGCAGGGGUGUACGAGUUAAUCUGGAGACCCACAAGCCUUGGGCCACUUCUUCUGCGGGAAGAUCUCAUUGCCUGUGGCCUUGCCUUCCUGCUUCUGUCAGCUCCUCCGGCUCCCUGCUGCCAAGCCGGCUUCGCUUGAUCAGAACAGCAGGCUCCUUUGAUGACAUGCCAGCACGGGCUUCAAACACCAAUUACCAUGCCGCCGAUGACAAAUACGAAGGGAAGAAAAGCAGCAAUGAUCGUUUAAUAAAUUUAUUAUGAAGACAAAUGGCCUUUACAUAAAUCACCCUGCCUUAUUGUUGAAAAACCUUGCUUAUUCUGACAUGGAGACAACAAGGGUUAAUUUCCAAAUCUUGGCAGCCCAACCCCUGAGUGGCCUUAGGAAGACUUUGAGUAAUCCCCAUGCCCUGAAACCAGCGGACCCUGUAGUGAGGGUCCCCAGAAUAAUGACAGCUUUUCUGGACUGCAAGAUACUGAAAGGUGAGGGUCAUUUUAAGUCUUCACGCCACGUGAAAACUUCUAAUAAAGAGCCCAAAUGGGGCGGCUAAGAAGUGCGCUGACAAGCACUGUGUGUGUGCUUGGCAAGCAUUCUGUUACACACCCGCAGAGACAAUUGCAUCCAGUCCUUAUAAGAUUACACAGGGGCAACGACGGAGCAGCAAAAUGCUUAAGAACAUCCGCUUCAGAAUCAGAUAGUCCUCAUUCAAGUCCAGAAUCCACCGACCUUAGCUCUGUGAUCGUGGCCAACUUACUGAACCUGUCUAAGUCUCAGUUCCCUAGUCCACAAAGCAGAGAAGAAUAGUAGCUACUACACAGAUUUGUUGUAAGGAUUAGUCAAAUAAUAUGUGAUAAAUACUUAUCACAGAAAACAUUCCGCCUGUUGUCACGAAGUUAGUUAUCAUUUCCCCGCUUGACCGGUAGAAAAGUACAAGCUCAGCAACAUUUAGCAUCUCGUCCACAGACACACAGCUAAGAGUGCAGCCUUGAUGCAAACGCACGUCUGUGCCCAUCUCCCUGCCUUUGCCUAAACCCUAAGGUUUCACAUCGGUGGGCAUUGCCAAGGUCUCCAGCGGCAGAGUUUACUGGGGAAAAUAAUGCCUUAAAGUUGCCUUCAUCUCAUUCGAAACCAAGAGUCAGGAGCGCCCCUUUCCUCCAGGCCAGCUGCCCUCGAAUUAAUAGAAAAAGUUAACAACUUCAAAAUGUAUCAUUAAAGAUACAGGAGAAUUGUUUCUGAAAUUGGUUGUAAACAUGCACACUCACCUUGGUUCUAUUUCUUUCUUUCUGCUGUUGCAUGUUUUUCAAAUACUUGCAUAUGAGAGCCUGCGGCCCCCUCCAGUUUUGUGUCACCCCUGAUUGCCCACACUGUCAGGAUACUUGCAGGACGUUAGGGGCGUUUGACUUUGGACCCUACUGCCGAGGCCUGCCAGGUGGGCUUCGGCUUGUUUUGGUCUAUGUUUGUGUCUCUACAUACAAAUAGCUCAAGAAAAGUGCACAGAAGAUUGAAUUUGGUUAAGCAGCAGGUAGUUCGACAAAGCUUACUUCUCACUAAAGAAAGAUUUGAGGUCCUACUAUGUGUCAGGCAGUGGACUUGGCAAUUAGGUCACACAAAUGAGGGAAGCACUCCUACUUUGGAAGUGGGCUGUGAUCGCCUUCAAGGGCGUCAGCCACCGUUGGCAGUGGGACUGUCCUUCACCCCCAGGAGCUGCCGCAGCUGGUCAGUGAGGUCGGCGGCGUGCCUGCUGGUGUGGCUGUGCCGACACGGACACGGACACGGGGCCACAGUGCUGGGCUGCACACUCACCUGCCAGGAGGGCCGUGGCAUCGCCCGCUCUCCUUCUGUCCGGUCUCUUUCUGUCUUCAGCCAAAACCCUCUUGGGGAGAAUCUCAGUUUCACCCUCAACUCUCAGCAGAAAUUGGAAAUCCUGAAUAAGCCUCGCUUGUUAGAAAUUUAAAAAGUAAUGGCAGGUGUAGGGAGCGCUCUUCAAUGAAGAGGCUACCGGCUUGUCAUUCCCUCACAAGAGAAAUAAAAUUGUUCAGCCAAAAAAUGACCUUUUAUCUUUUUCAGGCCAAACCCCCCCCUCUCAAGACACAUACACACACACACACACACGCACACACGACCAGGCCUUUGAACUCGAGCCAGAAGGUGGGUCUGAGAAACCAGGACAGUCUGACUUGUCUCGUCAGUGAGGAGGCGCGCUCCGGAGCAGAAGGCAGGGACAACGAAAGCUCUGCCUUCUUCUGUCGCUAAUGAUUCAGAGCAGCAGGUGUGUCUGCCGAGCUCCCGCGUCUAGACCCCGAGCUGGCGGCACUGCCGCUGCCUGUCCUCCCCCUCUCCUCCUGUCCAGCUCUCUCCUCUCUGGGGCUGUGCCUGCACCCCGCUCCUGCUGCUGCCUUUCUAAGAGGGAUGCUGGGUGCUGGCAGACCCCACACAGAGCCGCGUGGGGGGCAUGAGGUUUGCUAUGUCAUCCCCAUGACACACCUGUAAAGACUACAUCAUCUCCAUUUUACAGAUGAGGAAAUCAAGACUCAGAAAGACUAGGAGAAUUUCACAGGACGACCCUGCUGUGUGGCAAGCUUGGAUCUUGUCCCAGGCCUGAGUGACCUCAAAGCCUCUUGCUCUCCAUGAGAAAUUUCAGGAGGAGAGAAGGGAGAUUCCAAAGCUUAAGAUGAGGGCAGCUGGUGGGGAUAGUGUGAAGAGGAGGGGAGGAGCGUUACAAACCUCCCCCACGUCACCACUGUCUACAAGCUCUUCUCAGCUCGAGCUCCCUUCAAUCCAUCCCCUUGCCCUCACUCUCACCCCCUGGUCUGCUAAGAGAGGGAUUUGGGGGUCUAUCCCCUUAUGGCACACACUGAUUUCUGUGCAGAUUUGAAAAGUCUGGCUCACUUAUCAUCAGUCAUUUGUUGGAUAAGCAUUUUUGGAACAUUAACCUCAUACAAAACUAGCAUAUUUUCAGGGGUCCUGAAAGCAAGUCUGGAGGGUAGGGACCUAUCUUUCUUGCCCAAUCCUGUAAGCAUUGGUUGAAUGAAGGAUUCCCUUCCUCCUGACCCCAUGUCUAUCUAUCUAUCUAUCUAUCUAUCUAUCUAUCUAUCUAUCUAUCUAUCUAUAUCUAUACAAGAAAGUGUAUUGGGACAUGCCACCCCAUCAUCUGUUGGAGAACUAAAGGGCCUCGUGUGAAAAGCCCACAUCCCUUUCCAGACCUAGAAACUCUUCUGCAAGUCCCCACCCCGGCUUUCCCCUGGGGCUGUCUCACCUGGCACAGGACAGAGAAACAAAUGCCCCAGCAUCUCCUUUUUGGAUGACUUUGAAGACAAGUCCACAAACCUACUUUUGAAGGAAUUACCACUGGUCCCUGUUAGAAGCAGACAGAUAUAACAAAGCAGCAAAUGAAGUGAACUUGAGGAUUCUGGGGUCUUCCAAACCUCUCCCACCAUCGUCCUCAUCACCAACUCGAUCCUCCUUGCUGUGACGAGGUCUGGCAGCCUUGCUCUCCUGUUCUGUGUCUCAGGGUGGAGUUCACUAAUUCUUAGCCCUCGGUCAGAAUCUCAUCCUGCUCUGGCCCCAGCCCUGGACCCCGCCCUCCUUGACACUGUUACCUCCAUUUUCCAAGGAGGAAGUCUGGUAGUCUGACAAAACCAGGAUUAUCCUCCCUGGCCCUGAAGUGCAUCUCAAGAGACUUUAGUCAAGUUAUGCCAUCUCUCCAAAGCUCUGAUUCUUUAUCCAUAAAAUGGGGGGCCUAAUGGAUGGAAGGGGAUAAGGUGAAUAAUGCUCCCAGCACAGCACUGGCACAUACCAGGUUCUCAGUAAAAGUAAGGUCACUCUCUUUGUUUCUCACCUCACAGGACUGUCCCUUAAAACCGCUGUUUUGCUACCUGUUUCACAGAUGCUUGUCCUGCUGGAUGCUCUAUGAAGAAAAGGCUCUGGAACUGCCACAUGUCAUAUUCCUGUCCUAAGGGAUAUUAACACUUUAGCUUCUGAGGAGUGCUGCAUUAAAUAAGUCAGUUUAUCCCAUUUUUUCUCAAUGACACUUGACAAAAUGGACACAUUUAUUUAGCAGACACUUAGCACACUGUUUGUGCUAUACAAAGGCUAACUCAUUGAGUUCUCAUGACAACUCUAUAAAGUGAGAUAUUACUGUUAUCCUCGUUUUGAAAGAUGACAGAACCAUGGCACAGAGCAGUUAAGUCAUUUGCCCAAGGUCACACAGUUGUUGCCGAGCCAGGUCUGGAACACAGUCUGCCUCCAGAAUCUAAACCCUUAGCCACUCUACUCAGAGGCCUCUCCAGUUUAAAAAAUACACACACACACCCCCAUAUACAUAUAUACGUAUGUGUGUGUGUAUAUAUCAAUUCUGCAAUUAAAAAUAAUAAUGCUAUUAUUUAUGUAAUAGCUGUUAAUAUUCUGCCAAACAUCAAUUCCAGAAGAUACACUUUAAGCAAGACUGCCUGAGACUCUCUCUUGCUGUUAUUUCUCUGCCUUCUCCAUCACUUGGUCCCACCGCAGAACCCAGUGCCAUCCAAGCUCUCCCAGUGAUGGCUGCACUGCCCUAGAUGCCACCUCCUCUCACAGAGAAGGCUCCGGCUCUCCCUCUGCUUUGCUGAGAUGCUUCCCCACCAGCCCUGAGGGGAGCCUUCCUCGCCAGUCUGCUGCCACAUUAGUCGGGUAUUCUUUCCCGUUUCUGUGGAUAUUUUUUCCUUUUCCUGAGGGUGAAGAUCUCUCCCCCAGGGUCCUUAGUUCCGGUGGAGAAAUCCUUCUACUGGUCCUCGCAGCCUCUCUGCUGUCGGCAUCACUCACACAUCCCUUGUGCCUAAUCAGCAGAAAGCGCUUUUCCGGGUAAAACGAGAAGCAAGGUCAAUGCGGAAAUCACCAGGUGUUCAGAGAGCAUGUCCUCCGUGCCCGGUUUUGUGCUGGGAGAAUGGAAUCUGGUGCCUGGGCUCUUUUAUGGCAGGGAACAUUCAUGAAUGGAGUAAACAAGCACAGAAGGGAAGUCUCAGGGAAACCAGACUUUGAAAUUUCUCCCGUAUGAGUACCUCUGACCCUCUGCUUCCCACCUUGAGUCACAGCACAAGUUCAAGUCACUUAAAAAUUGUCACUUUUACAAUAUGGCAGCUACAAAGUGACCUUAGAGAUAUUCCAGCUCGGGGUUGGCAAACAGCUGUAGGGGAGGAAGAUGUUCCCUCUACCCACUCUGUGUUCUUCUGGCUGGAGAACAAAUUAAAUUCACAUGAGACAGAAUAACAGGAGAAAAUUAGACAAAGCUUGAUAACAUGUAUGCACGGGAGAGGCUCAGGCAACCUGAGCAACUUGCCAAAAUAGCUGAAGCCACCACCUUAAAUAUCAUCUUCAGAUAAAGACAAAGGAGGAUGUUGGGGGUGAGGGGAGUCAGUUAUGGGAGGUUACCAGACAAGUACAGUAAGCAGGAGUAAGAUUUUCAUGCGGAUUUAAGUCCUUGCCUUCCACAUUGAUUACGAGUUUCUAGAGAUAAGGUCAUCCCUUCUUCUUCCUGGUACGGAGAGGGAGACACCUUUACAGAUGGAGAUUUCCUUUAUAACGUAAAUGUCUCUUAACAAAGGGUAAGUAAAUUCUACUUUUCAAAGUUUCUUUCCUGUCUGCAGUUUUUAAAAUUAACCAGCCCCAAAUAAUCCUCAUGCCAAAGAGACAUGUCUUGGGGUGGCCAAUUCCAGUCCCCCACAUAGGUUUUCUCUCCACUGCCAAAAGCAAUGGAUUGGAAGUGUGAUGACACCUGUAAGACUGAAUCUGAGCUUAUAGAGCAAGAGUAUUGUGGUCAAUUUAGUCAAGGGACUGGUCUCAGAUUGGGGUCCUUAGAAGUCCAGUGUGAGACAAGGAUUCUUGUGGAAGUGAUCUAUUGGGAGAGGACUCAGGAAGGGAGAGAAAAAAGCAGACAGGGGCAGGGGGAGAAGCCAAGCCAGGAUGUGAGCUCAGCUGAGGACUAGCCUGUCAACUGGAGCAUGGAUUGAGGUCAGGGGACUGACCUGUUGUAUGCUGGCAGUCAGUCAUUGGCUGUGGCCAGUGAGAGUGGUGAGUGCACCAGUCCUGUAAAGGGGUCUGGGCAGGGCAUCAAGAACGUCCACUACUGACAGAGAAUGAGAGAUUGAUGGCCCACUGGCUAGUUAGCAUCCUUAAUAUGGCACCGCCAGUUCAUCUUACAGGUGCUCAGAGAGAAGAACUGAAGUCUAAACUCCUCUAUACACCCGCAGAGCCCUGUGCAGUCUGGCCCUGUACUAACUUCUAGUCAUCCGCCAUGCUCGGAGCACGGCUGACAUCCAGCCCUGCCUACGCCUUGGAUUUUUCUUUUACUCAGUUUUCACUCUCUUUUCUUGGUUAACAUAAGAAACUAAUCUAAAACAAGUAUGUGGUACAAAUCUUGGCACCCAGUUAGAAACAUUUCCCCAGUGUAUCAGUCAGGAUUAAGUAUAGCUGCAAGUAACAAGCACAGCAAGGAUUCGGGCACCCUCUUGCCUCCAUGCUUUCACUCUCACAUCUCCUCUGUGGCAGACUGUGAAGUACCUUUCCUUUCUUCUCUACCAAGCAGUUUUAAGUGCCCUGUAGACUCACUUCAUAACAUUUGGAAGGAUGGGUCCGUCACAGAUUGCCGACAGGCUGUUGUAGCCCUUUUAAGAACAAUCUGAAAGGAUUUGUAGUCUCAGAGCAGAUGACCUGUGGGAGCCCAUAGAUUAUCUAACUCUUGCACUGCCAUUAUGGAUCUCCUAUAAGUACUUACAGAACUUUAGGGAUUUCUUGUAGAAUCCUACAGAUUGCCUAUGGUAAUUGUGCCAUGUUCAACAGUCAGUCAUUCGACUCUCUGAUGAGUGCUUACUGUAUGCCAGACCAUGUGUGGAGAAACCAGGUGAACAAAACUGACAAGGUCUCUACCCUUAUUCUAAGCAUAAUAAAGACAGUCAAUAUGUGGGAAGCUAAAAAACAAAUAAUUUCAGCCUGUGUUAAGUGCCAUUGAGAGUGAUUGGGGCAAAGACUCAAAAUUCAUAGGUCAAGGAAGGACUUCUCUGAGGAGGUCUGAACCGUGAGAAAGAAUCAUCCAGAAGAAGGCUUGAGAAAGGAGCCUUCUGGGCAGAAGAAACAGCAUAUGUAAUGGCCCAGAGGCAAGAAUGAGCCUGACUUAAUGGAGGAACAAAAAAAAGUGUCUUGGUGUCCAGGAAACGGUGAGUGAGCAAGCAAGAGAGUGGCGCAAGGUCAGAACACUGAGCAAGCACUAGCGAAGAAGGAAAAAAACACGGUGCUUCCUCAAGGCAGUCACAUUCUCCUUCCAUAGUCACUUGUAGAUAAUAAUAAUAAGUACUAUCACAGAUCACCUGUGGGUACCAUUAUGGUACCAUUUCAGUAUUUACAGGUGCCCUCAAAGAUCAACUAUGAUGAUAGUAUUUCACUGUGAAUUGCCUGUGGGAACGUGCUAUGUCAUCUCAAGUCAUUUGGGCUGUCAGAGAUGAUAUGCAAGUUCUUACAAUCUCAAUAUAGGUUCAUUCGUGUUUAUUUUUAGGCAAACCAUCAGUGAUGCCUCUACUGGUUGAUAGUAGCGUAAUGGGUGAUCUGAAGUCAUAGUGGCUCCAUGGCAAACCCCUCAGGUACUUCUCAAUUGCUAAACUUGCUAAGUAUGUUUGCAAUAUCACUAAGGAUUGCUUAGAGAUUAUCUUCCAACCCAAGAAUGUCCCAAAGAACAAUUUUUCUUUUACUCAGUUUUCACUCUCUUUUAUUGGUUACCAUGAAAAAUUAAUCUAAAACAAGUAUUUGGUACAAAUGUUGGCACCCAGUUAGAAACAUGUCCCCACUGUAUCAGUAAGGAUUAAGUCUAGCUGCAAGUAACAGAGACCCACAAUGAGAGUGGUUUAAACAAGAUAGAAAAUAGAAGGCUAUUUUUCUCUCAUACAAAAGUCUGAAGUCAACAAUCUACAGAGCCGAUAUGGCAAUUCUACUCCAUGAAGUCCUCAGGGAUCCAGGCUCCUUGUAGCCCUCUGCUCUGCCAUGCAAGAUGGCUCUCCAGCACAGCACACACAUUCCAAGUAGCAGGAGGGAGAAAGAAGAGAAGAAACAGUAAAGGGUGCACGGUAGUUACUUUUUGAGUAAAGUUUCAAGAAACUGUCUCAAUAUACUUCUCCUUACCAUUAACCAGAACUUAGCCACAUGGCCACAUUGCUGCAAGAAAGCUGUAAAAUACAAUCCUUAUUCUUGGUGGUCACGUGCCCGGUGGAAUAUUCUCUUACUAAGGAAGAAGGGGAAAUGGAUAAUGAGGAGCAACUGACGGCCUUUACUAUACUCAAUAUGGACACAACUCAUGUACCAGCAUUCACAUGAGUAGAAAUGCCACCACCCAAUGGUUCCCAGCCCUGGGAUGUCAGAAAACAGCAAAACUAAAUUUACAAAGGGAGAGAGUCCUAUAUAUUGUUGCCAACUUAGUUUUUCUAGUGAGGACGUGAAAAACAAUUCAAACUUAUUACCAACCAUCAUAAUCAUCUCAUAAAGAAAGAAGACUUUAGCAGAAAAAAGAAUGACUUUAAAAAUGUCUUAAAUGGAGUAAAUUUUGCUUUUGGUGAGGAGGCAAGAUAAACUCAUUUUUUUUUCAUUUUACCCCAAGGCAGUGAAAACUUUAUCACAAACCAGUAUUAUUAAUGGUGUAUUUAAUGAUGCAACCUGAAAGCAUUUCUUUAAGACAAUAUGACAUUUUCUGUUUCUAAAAGCUUCCCCCAAGUUAUAAUAAUGAAGACCAUUUACUUAGAGCCCAAACCAUUAAGUGAUGAUCGGAUCUUGAGCCAGAUUCUAUUCAUAGAUAUUGUGUUUGACCUAAUCAGUAAUUUUUUUAAAUUUUGAAUCUGUUGUCAACAUCUGAAGCUUAAGAGACUUCACAAUUAAAAAAGUUAGUUCUUGCUUCUCUUGAAAAGCGGGAAGCUCUGGCAAGUGGGGCCCUCGUUUCCACAUGAUCACUCCCAGCUGGAUGAAGCUCGGCAGCAGCUGCCCCUUAGACGGGCCUGCGCUGCCAAUUCAUUACAGGUCCCACCUGGCCAGUGCUCUCCUUGAUGCUACCUGCGAGGGCCCUGUCGAAAUCUUAGUUUGUGACUCCUAAUUUAGAGCUUCUAACGUGUGGGUAUUUGUAGCCUUAUUUCUAAACUUCACACAACCUGUAAGUUAAACAUUGUAUCUCCAUUUUUCGAGAUUGAAGAACAGAAAGGUGGGGUGACUUGCCCAAGACCGAAGAGCUAACAGCUGCCCAUCUGAAAUUUGGACCCAGGCCUUUCUGGCUCCAGGGCCGUGUGCAUUCCGCUGGGUAGCCCUGCUUUCCAGUGGGCCUAUGACCCACAUCCCUGUCAGCCCUCACAUGGGUAGAAUUAUUCAUGCCAUCUGGGCUAUACGACUUCAUUAGAUUUUAGCUGAGAAAAAUCUGAAUGUCCUGUUUGCCUUGUAGUAUUAUUUUAGACUACAUUUUGUAUUUGUUUUUAAGGGGGAAAAAAAUCCUGUGGAAGGAAUAAUGGUUGAGAGGCGGCCACAGCCAUCUAUCAUGCAGACACAGCAUGCAUUUAAACAUCUCUGAGAACAUAAAUUGGUUACUUAAUCGGCCCUAGCUAAUCCGUGGAGUGCAGAAGUCAAACUGCACUAUGGGAAACAGCUGCUGCGCGUGGCGUAGGCACGCCCAACAGAGCCCAGGGUUCUUGGGGUGGCUGCCGAGUCAGGCUCAAGGCUUCCUGACCCCCACCCUCUUCAGGCUCCAAGUGUCUCAUGGGCAGGGUUUUCAGAGCGUGAGGAGGCACUGGAUCCUUUCAUUAGAGACACAGUUCAGAAAUAAAAUGAGAAUGAAAAAUGUGCAUGUCUUCAAGCUUAUCUUCGUUCACAACUGGACUUUUAGCUGCAUUCUGAGAGCUCUCAGUCAAAUAUGGAAAAACAAAAAGUCCCACUAUCGGCUGUACUCAGGCUACACACAGGCCGGUUUUCAUCUGAAAGACUGCACAUAGAAACAUAUUUGUCUGUGACUCUAUCAACCAGAUCCACAUCUCUCAGUCUGACAAACACAGGGCCACUGCCUUCAGUCCAUGGAGCUGAGUUGACUGCUGUGCAACGGGCAGGAAUGGCCACUGGUGUCUGGAUAGCAACAAGGUACGAUCCUUGCCCUCAAGCCACUCUCAGCCUGGUACAGAAGUCACAUAGGAACAGAUCAUUCAUGUAUUCAUUCAUUGACUCAACAAACCGUUUUGGAAUGCCUCCUGUGAUCUAAGGACCAUGCUGGGUCCUAAUCCCUGUCUCCAUAAAGUUCACAUUCCAGCGGAGGGUGGGCGAGUGUUGUAUUAGCUCCCUGUGGCCUCUGUAACAAAGCCCCACAAACUUGGUGCCUUAAAACCACAUGAACUUAACAGGAGCGUCUUUCAAGCUUCCUGUGUGCUCAGAAUGAAAAGAUAGUGGGCUCAGCCCAGGAGGGAGGGCAGACCAGCAGCACCAAAGCGCCGUCGUGGAUAAAGGACUCAGAGCCAAGGGCUGAGGACACACAGGGAGCCCCUUCCAGGGAGCAUAUCAGAGGAGGCUCCUGGGCCCAGUGCUCAGCACUUUGUGGUACCCAGUAAAUACUCAUUUGUAAAUAGCGCCACCUGUGCCCCUGUCUAGAAGGAUUCUAUUUGUCCUGAGUAUGUUAUUUUUUAAAUAAAAUAGGACUUACGUUUCAAAAAAACCGAUCGCGUAUGCUGAGAUGUGUGACUGAACAAGACGUCCUAACAUCUGGAGUGCAAAAAAAGGCUGGGGCCUAUGUUUCUAAGUUUAUUUUUUGACAUAAUGCUUAAACUUUUGCAAAACAUGUUUUGUUAAAAUAGUACUGUACAUUUCUUCUGCCUUUUAGAAUUUGCGAGGUGUUUUCAUGUAACUUUAUAUAAUCUUCACAAAAAGUUUGGUGAAUAUCCUGAAUUUACAGAGGAGGAAACCAGGAUCCAUUCCUGGGGGCCAAUGGCAAGAAAAGGGAAAGGCAUGAGGAAAGACUUUCUGAUGACCUGUCACCUUUUCUCUUUACCGUGCAGUUACUGUUUGGUAAGCUUCCAGCCUCUGGUCCAGGGAUGCUGUGGGCCCUAGGCAGAGAGCCAGAGGUUCAAACAGGCUUGCUCUGAGGCCACAGGGAGAUGAGUCCUGCUGACCUGUAUCUCCAAAGACAUCCAAAUUGCAAUUUAUAUUUGCAACGUGCGUUUUUAUGACAUAUAAUUUUAUCAAGGCAGAAUUAAGCUUAAUAUCUGAAAGCUUCACAACUCAAGGGUAGAAGGAGUCAGGGAUUUACCCCAUUUGACAGAUAAGGAAACUGAGGCACAGAGGAAUCGACUUCAAGCUAAUAGAAGAGCUUAACCGUUAGGCAGUCGAAUGCAGGGGUUAGGAGCACGUGCUGUGGACUCUGUAGACCUGACAUAGAAACCUGCCUUUGCAACUUGCUCGGCUCCGUGAUGUGAAGUCGCUCAUCUUCACUGAGGCUCAGUUUCCCCUUCUGUGUCAUGAGAAUAGCAAUGUACUCUUUGAUAAGUUGUUUAA
This 13222-nucleotide long non-coding RNA is filed under the name Equus caballus (horse). RNAcentral describes it as "lncRNA (ENSECAG00000049496.1)". The record is from RNAcentral. Lineage: Eukaryota; Metazoa; Chordata; Mammalia; Perissodactyla; Equidae.